GUUUUCCUGGAGAUCCCUGUCUACUUCAUGCUUUCUGAGGGUUACAUGGAAAUACCUCCCAUCAGCAGAAUGAGUUCAGCUGCAGUCAGACUGUGGUUUCCGAAUUUAAGGGGAAAUGUUCUCCGUCUCUCUUGAUGCAGCUGUUCUAUUUUAAUAAAUGACUCCUCGUUGGCUUAAAUAGCACGUAGCAAUAACCCUCUGCAGGUUGGGUAUAGCUCGUGUUUGAGAAACACACUUGGGGGUCCUGUAAGGAAGGAAUGCCCUAGCUGAAAGCAGCUGUAACAGCCACUGAUUAGGCUGUUCUUUAUGGAGCUGAGAGUCUGCAGUUCACUCGCAGUUCUGAACAAAGUAAAACUGAAAUUUGAAUUGGAGGCUCCUGCAGCCCAGCAAGUGCCUAAUCAUCAAACUCUAAGGUAGAUAGAGAAAUCUCUGCGUUAUCAGUAGUAGUGAAAUCCUGUUCUGAGUUGAGUCGUCAGUUUAAAACUGCACCUCCUUUUCUAGAAACAAAGAAAUAACUCUUCAGUGUGAUGUGCUGUACUUUUUCCCAGAACAACAACGAGAAAAGUAAAUAACGAUUUGCAUACCUGUUUCAUAAAGUGAAUUUAUCAAACUAUAUGUUAAAAUUUUCAUUGUCAUUUAUAGGCAAAAAAAAAAAAAAAAUCCUAACAAUCCAGAUUUCUGCUAUGCAGUAAUGAUCUUUUGGUAGAACAUAUAGUAGUCUUAGAAUGAUUGAGGCAGUAACUCCCACUUCAGUUUUUUUCUGGCGUCAGGGUCUGUUAAGCACUGAGAAAUACUAAUAGUCACCUAUUUAGAUGAUGAGCCCAUCUUGUUUCCAUAUCCUUGUAUCUAAUGUAGCAUGAGCUGGCAAUAGUCAUUUUAUUUGACUUGUUUUGACUCAGUGUUAUAAUUUGCCUCUGCAAACUGAAAAUAGAGAACACAGGAUUUGUGGAGGAGAGGUAAAAGAUGACAUUAAAUGAAUUAGCCCUGUUUUCAGAUCUAGCACUACUAACAUC
This 1013-nucleotide long non-coding RNA is filed under the name Gallus gallus (chicken). RNAcentral's name for it is "lncRNA (ENSGALG00010017492.1)". The record is from RNAcentral. Lineage: Eukaryota; Metazoa; Chordata; Aves; Galliformes; Phasianidae.